RNAcentral lists this small nucleolar RNA (51 nucleotides) under Acidianus hospitalis W1. Its description in RNAcentral is "putative C/D box RNA". Lineage: Archaea; Thermoproteati; Thermoproteota; Thermoprotei; Sulfolobales; Sulfolobaceae. The record is from RNAcentral.
GUGAUGACUGAACCCCGGUCUGAACAGUGAUGCCACCGUGUGAGGACUGAU